RNAcentral lists this non-coding RNA (359 nucleotides) under Clostridium celatum. RNAcentral's name for it is "T-box sequence". It matches the Rfam family "T-box leader". From Rfam's summary of the family: Uncharged tRNA acts as the effector for transcription antitermination of genes in the T-box leader family. T-boxes are found upstream of many aminoacyl-tRNA synthetase genes and some amino acid biosynthetic genes usually in Gram-positive bacteria. Lineage: Bacteria; Bacillati; Bacillota; Clostridia; Eubacteriales; Clostridiaceae. The record is from RNAcentral.
AUAACAGCGUUGAUAGAAAAAAGUAGUUUUUAUGAUCUCUUAAAGCGAGCAAGGGAUGGUGUAAGCCUUGUAAGAGUAGUUUUAAUGAAAAACAUUCUUGAGCUUCUAACCGAAAGAGUGAAAUCUGAAGAUUAAAUUGAAAUUGCAUCUUAAAAGGAAAUACCUUUUCCUUGCGUCAAAGGUGUAAGUUCGAUUUGCCAAAUUAAAAUUUGGAAUCUCACUUAUCUCACUUAAGUAGACUUAGACGGGGUCUGACCGUUAAAAAGGAACAGUCUUGAAUUUGUAUUCAGCACUGAUUGAGAUAGUAUAUUUUUAUACUAAUUUAGGUGGUACCGCGGAAGUAACCUUUCGUCCUAUAU